CUCUCAUUCUUAAGGGGGAAAGAUUCAGCAACGCAAUAGCAACGAAAUCGAUUCGAAGAUUUCAUACAAAGUGUACCUAAUGUUAUCACAACGUGAAAUUUCGAUUCUAAGGGAUUUCGGUUUAAUUCUUCUCAAGAGUAUCAUACGGAUUUUUUCCUAUUCUCGGUAUAGAUAAUCAGUUUGGCGAGCCUUCAUAGUAGACGAGACUGACAUUCAGCGAAGGAUCGGUAAGACUCCAGCUCAUUCGGAGUGCGACCGAGUGUAUGAGUCAUCGUGUCAAAGUUUUUCUACAGACUUAUGGUUAGGCUGGUACCCUGUCCAAUUUGAUGUCAAAUAAUUCUAGAGGCUUUGUAGACAGAGGUUCAUUUUGUACAGUAUGUUAGAGGCCUUAACGGCCCAUAUAUAUUCUUGUUUUAAGAACGAUAGCUUUUUGA
Nicotiana tabacum (common tobacco) is the source of this 434-nucleotide long non-coding RNA. RefSeq lists it as uncharacterized. NCBI's taxonomy places the organism in Eukaryota, Viridiplantae, Streptophyta, Magnoliopsida, Solanales, Solanaceae. The record is from RefSeq and is a predicted model, not a curated record.